CCAAACAGUAUCUCAAAUUGCGAUGACAGGCCAAACCCGAAUAAACUGGGUGAUAAACCCGACAAAUCUCGGCCGUUGCAAGUUUUUUCCCCAAUUCUGGAGGGGGUUCCAGAAACAGAAGCAGAUGCAGAAGCAGAAGCUGGGGUUUUCCGCUUCGGCAUAGUUUUUCACUUAACACUUGAAAUUGAAUCUCUCACAUCACUUCUUGGAAUUUAAUUCUCUAAAACCCUUUAAAAUUUUGAAACUCUGACUUGAAAUUUCUUGUAAUCUUUGCAAUCGAAUCAUGAAAUCUAGUUGCUUUUACUGCUAAUUUUUCCUAAUUAUUUUUUGAAUUUGUGAGAAGAUAUAUACACUACCUAAGGUCCGAUCAUGGCGGGAGGGAAUUUCAUGCAGUCAUAUCAUACCUCGUCAAUGUGGUCGUUGUGGAUGGACUUGCAAAUAGCCCUGCAUUCCAGAGAUUCACUGUGAGGACAUCAAAGACGAUUGAGAAUAUUUCUAAUACGGCUGCCCAGAAGAAGCAAGAACUUGCUGAUCAGAUGAAAGAUUUGUCGAAAAAUUUUGAGAAUUUUAAAAAUCAGUGAUUCUUGGCUGUAGUUAGAACCCAUGUUCUACAGAUAGAUUGUAUAAGAGUUUUGAGCUCUCUUUUGGUUUCAUCCUGCUCUGACUUCUGAUGGGCGGGGGCGGUAUUGUAAUUUUGGGAGAUAUGGACAUAAUUUUAUGUUAAUGGAUCAGUAGUCUUUUAUUAAAGUCAAUGACAUUUUGGUUAGUCUUGUAGCAUGUAUCCUAAGAAUGUGGAACCCUGGUUUGAAUGAGUUGGAUCAUCCCGUUUCCAUCCGCUUGCUUAUAAACUUUUGCAAUUUGUACA
Non-coding RNA from Camellia sinensis, 865 nucleotides. Lineage: Eukaryota; Viridiplantae; Streptophyta; Magnoliopsida; Ericales; Theaceae. The record is from RefSeq and is a predicted model, not a curated record.